Molecule: ribosomal RNA, 492 nt
Filed under: uncultured bacterium
Lineage: Bacteria
Description: partial 16S ribosomal RNA
Rfam family: Bacterial small subunit ribosomal RNA
Source: RNAcentral
AGUGAACGCUGGCGGUAGGCCUAACACAUGCAAGUCGAACGGCAGCACAGUAAGAGCUUGCUCUUACGGGUGGCGAGUGGCGGACGGGUGAGGAAUACAUCGGAAUCUACUUUUUCGUGGGGGAUAACGUAGGGAAACUUACGCUAAUACCGCAUACGACCUACGGGUGAAAGCAGGGGAUCUUCGGACCUUGCGUGAUUGAAUGAGCCGAUGUCGGAUUAGCUAGUUGGCGGGGUAAAGGCCCACCAAGGCGACGAUCCGUAGCUGGUCUGAGAGGAUGAUCAGCCACACUGGAACUGAGACACGGUCCAGACUCCUACGGGAGGCAGCAGUGGGGAAUAUUGGACAAUGGGCGAAAGCCUGAUCCAGCCAUGCCGCGUGAGUGAAGAAGGCCUUCGGGUUGUAAAGCCCUUUUAUUGGGAAAGAAAAGCAGCAGGUUAAUACCCCGCUGUUCUGACGGUACCCAAAGAAUAAGCACCGGCUAACUUCGUG